UCUGGUGGCGAUGCGCUUAGGGGACACACCCGUUCCCAUCCCGAACACGAUGGUUAAGACCUAAGCGGCCGAUGGUACUUUACUGGAGACGGUACGGGAGAGUAGGCGGCUGCCAGAC
Molecule: ribosomal RNA, 118 nt
Filed under: Dorea formicigenerans
Lineage: Bacteria; Bacillati; Bacillota; Clostridia; Lachnospirales; Lachnospiraceae
Source: RNAcentral